UACGUAGGGUCCGAGCGUUGUCCGGAAUUAUUGGGCGUAAAGAGCUCGUAGGCGGUUUGUCGCGUCUGCUGUGAAAUCCCGAGGCUCAACCUCGGGCCUGCAGUGGGUACGGGCAGACUGGAGUGCGGUAGGGGAGAAUGGAAUUCCUGGUGUAGCGGUGGAAUGCGCAGAUAUCAGGAGGAACCCCGAUGGCGAAGGCAGUUCUCUGGGCCGUAACUGACGCUGAGGAGCGAAAGCGUGGGGAGCGAACAGG
RNAcentral lists this ribosomal RNA (253 nucleotides) under uncultured bacterium. RNAcentral describes it as "partial 16S ribosomal RNA". It matches the Rfam family "Bacterial small subunit ribosomal RNA", at positions 524 to 776 of the family's 1533-position model. The record is from RNAcentral.